UGGGGAAUUUUGGACAAUGGGGGAAACCCUGAUCCAGCCAUCCCGCGUGUGCGAUGAAGGCCUUCGGGUUGUAAAGCACUUUUGGCAGGAAAGAAACGUCGCGGGUUAAUACCCCGCGAAACUGACGGUACCUGCAGAAUAAGCACCGGCUAACUACGUGCCAGCAGCCGCGGUAAUACGUAGGGUGCAAGCGUUAAUCGGAAUUACUGGGCGUAAAGCGUGCGCAGGCGGUUCGGAAAGAAAGAUGUGAAAUCCCAGAGCUUAACUUUGGAACUGUAUUUUUAACUACCGGGCUAGAGUGUGUCAGAGGGAGGUGGAAUUCCGCGUGUAGCAGUGAAAUGCGUAGAUAUGCGGACGAACACCGAUGGCGAAGGCAGCCUCCUGGGAUAACACUGACGCUCAUGCACGAAAGCGUGGGGAGCAAACAGGAUUAGAUACCCUGGUAGUCCACGCCCUAAACGAUGUCAACUAGCUGUUGGGGCCUUCGGGCCUUGGUAGCGCAGCUAACGCGUGAAGUUGACCGCCUGGGGAGUACGGUCGCAAGACUAAAACUUAAAUGAAUUGAC
Molecule: ribosomal RNA, 566 nt
Filed under: uncultured bacterium
Lineage: Bacteria
Description: partial 16S ribosomal RNA
Rfam family: Bacterial small subunit ribosomal RNA
Source: RNAcentral